UGGGGAAUAUUGGACAAUGGGCGCAAGCCUGAUCCAGCCAUGCCGCGUGAGUGAUGAAGGCCCUAGGGUUGUAAAGCUCUUUCACCGGUGAAGAUAAUGACGGUAACCGGAGAAGAAGCCCCGGCUAACUUCGUGCCAGCAGCCGCGGUAAUACGAAGGGGGCUAGCGUUGUUCGGAUUUACUGGGCGUAAAGCGCACGUAGGCGGACUUUUAAGUAAGGGGUGAAAUCCCGGGGCUCAACCCCGGAACUGCCUUUGAUACUGGAAGUCUUGAGUAUGGUAGAGGUGAGUGGAAUUCCGAGUGUAGAGGUGAAAUUCGUAGAUAUUCGGAGGAACACCAGUGGCGAAGGCGGCUCACUGGACCAUUACUGACGCUGAGGUGCGAAAGCGUGGGGAGCAAACAGG
Molecule: ribosomal RNA, 404 nt
Filed under: Actinomycetes bacterium
Lineage: Bacteria; Bacillati; Actinomycetota; Actinomycetes
Description: Actinobacteria bacterium partial 16S ribosomal RNA
Rfam family: Bacterial small subunit ribosomal RNA
Source: RNAcentral